Mauremys reevesii (Reeves's turtle) is the source of this 1052-nucleotide long non-coding RNA. RefSeq lists it as uncharacterized. The record is from RefSeq and is a predicted model, not a curated record. The transcript is spliced from 7 exons. Lineage: Eukaryota; Metazoa; Chordata; Testudines; Geoemydidae.
UCUGAGCUAACAGCUCCUCAUACAGGAACAGAUCCGGACAUACUUGGAGAUAGGUAUGGGGGGAAAGAAGUCCAGAUCCAGGAAAAUUAAAGAACUUAAACCAGUACAGAUGAAGAUAGGAUAUAGACAGCCAUUGCUCCAGGUGCUACUGCAAAUAGAGGGGUCCUUACUUGAGGGUAAGGAGGGGAUUUCGUCAGUUGUGGGGGCAUGCCAUCUGUGUGCCUUCAUCCUCUGUUGCCCCAAUGACUUUCUACUUAGAAACAUAAAUGAUCUUUCACAUGCAUUGGUCUAAUGCAAUGGGGACAUCCAGUGAAUAGGUAGGCUAUGAACAAAGUUAUAUUCAGAACUGAAUCUGUAAGGAGCUUGCAAAUAAUUAGACACAGAAUCCUUCCAAGCAAAUGACUCAGAUAUCUUUAUUGUCGCAGGGUAUGCUUAAUGCACUGUCUUCCAGUGGUCACACAGCAUAUAGCAAAGAGAAAAAACUCUCUUUCAGAGUCUUCCAGAUCAAGUUUGCUCAACUUACAAGGCAAAAGAUAGGGUUUCCAUCCACCAGCCCUGCAAACUGAGAGCUGAAAAAUUGAUCUGUGCUCUUUCUGCUUCGCAUAUCAGCACCGAAAGGAAGAGCACCAAUGGGGUGGAGGAAAGGAUUUGCUGGAAUCAUUUGUGUUUCUGCGGAGGACAUAACUACUUGCCCAAAGGGGAAACUUACCGAGUAUGCUCUGCAGCUUCCUAAAGCCGGUGUAGAAAGUCAUCAUUAAGGCCAGAUUCUCAGCAACCAUACAAACUAAGCAGAGGAAGUCACUCAGAUCUGUGCAAAUGGAUAAGGCUAAAAGGAUUCAUAGCUUCUGCUCACUGCUUUCAGAAGGAACUGAGGCAGCAACGGACACCACACCCUUUUUUAUAGCCACACCCUUAGAACGCACUAAAAUGCUGCGGGGAAGAGCGAGGCACCAUAACCAGCACUGUUACUAGAAGGUUCCACCAUCCUGGCUGCACCUGAUUGGCACAUGACUAGUUUGUGACAAUGCAGAGUCCAUCUCAAAGAACUUUGA